Molecule: ribosomal RNA, 279 nt
Filed under: uncultured bacterium
Lineage: Bacteria
Description: partial 16S ribosomal RNA
Rfam family: Bacterial small subunit ribosomal RNA
Source: RNAcentral
UGCCAGCAGCCGCGGUAAUACGAAGGGUGCUAGUGUUGUUCGGAAUUACUGGGCGUAAAGAGCAUGUAGGCGGCUAAGUUAGUUGGAUGUGAAAGCCCCGGGCUUAACCUGGGAACUGCACCCAAUACUGCUUAGCUAGAAUAUGGUAGAGGGAGGUAGAAUUUCCGGUGUAGCGGUGAAAUGCGUAGAGAUCGGAAGGAAUACCGGUGGCGAAGGCGGCCUCCUGGACCAAUACUGACACUGAGGUGCGAAAGCGUGGGGAGCAAACAGGAUUAGAUA